Molecule: small nuclear RNA, 124 nt
Organism: Cynocephalus volans (Philippine flying lemur)
Lineage: Eukaryota; Metazoa; Chordata; Mammalia; Dermoptera; Cynocephalidae
Source: RefSeq, a predicted model, not a curated record
GAGUUGUAUGAAAGAAGAAGGGUUUAGUGCUUCCCUUCACAAGGAUGGAAGAGGCCUCAGGCUUACAACAUCAGUACAGGUAAGCCACUGCCUGUUUCUAAAUAUCUUUUAGUUUUUUUUUUUU